RNAcentral lists this ribosomal RNA (483 nucleotides) under uncultured bacterium. Its description in RNAcentral is "partial 16S ribosomal RNA". It matches the Rfam family "Bacterial small subunit ribosomal RNA", at positions 30 to 507 of the family's 1533-position model. The record is from RNAcentral.
UUGAACGCUGGCGGAAUGCUUUACACAUGCAAGUCGAACGGCAGCACGGGGGCAGCCCUGGUGGCGAGUGGCGAACGGGUGAGUAAUACAUCGGAACGUGCCCGGUCGUGGGGGAUAACGUAGCGAAAGUUACGCUAAUACCGCAUACGAUCUGAGGAUGAAAGCGGGGGACCUUCGAGCCUCGCGCGAUCGGAGCGGCCGAUGUCAGAUUAGGUAGUUGGUGGGGUAAAGGCCUACCAAGCCGACGAUCUGUAGCUGGUCUGAGAGGACGACCAGCCACACUGGGACUGAGACACGGCCCAGACUCCUACGGGAGGCAGCAGUGGGGAAUUUUGGACAAUGGGCGCAAGCCUGAUCCAGCCAUUCCGCGUGCAGGACGAAGGCCUUCGGGUUGUAAACUGCUUUUGUACGGAACGAAAAGGCUCUGGCUAAUACCUGGGGCUCAUGACGGUACCGUAAGAAUAAGCACCGGCUAACUACGUG